RNAcentral lists this ribosomal RNA (465 nucleotides) under uncultured Desulfovibrio sp. RNAcentral's name for it is "bacterial SSU rRNA". It matches the Rfam family "Bacterial small subunit ribosomal RNA", at positions 923 to 1382 of the family's 1533-position model. The record is from RNAcentral. Lineage: Bacteria; Pseudomonadati; Thermodesulfobacteriota; Desulfovibrionia; Desulfovibrionales; Desulfovibrionaceae.
GCACAAGCGGUGGAGUAUGUGGUUUAAUUCGACGCAACGCGCAGAACCUUUACCUGGUCUUGACAUCCCGAGAAUCUUCUGGAAACAGUUGAGUGCCUUCAACCGAAGGAGCUUGGAGACAGGUGCUGCAUGGCUGUCGUCAGCUCGUGUCGUGAGAUGUUGGGUUAAGUCCCGCAACGAGCGCAACCCUCGCCUUUAGUUGCCAGCAUUAAGUUGGGCACUCUAGAGGGACUGCCGGUGUCAAACCGGAGGAAGGUGGGGAUGACGUCAAGUCCUCAUGGCCUUUAUGACCAGGGCUACACACGUACUACAAUGGCCGGCACAAAGGGCAGCAAGCCUGCGAAGGUAAGCUAAUCCCGAAAAACCGGUCUCAGUCCGGAUCGCAGUCUGCAACUCGACUGCGUGAAGUUGGAAUCGCUAGUAAUCGUGGAUCAGCAUGCCACGGUGAAUACGUUCCCGGGCCUU